This 498-nucleotide ribosomal RNA is filed under the name uncultured Sphingobacteriales bacterium. RNAcentral describes it as "bacterial SSU rRNA". It matches the Rfam family "Bacterial small subunit ribosomal RNA", at positions 903 to 1382 of the family's 1533-position model. The record is from RNAcentral. Lineage: Bacteria; Pseudomonadati; Bacteroidota; Sphingobacteriia; Sphingobacteriales.
GCCCGCUCAGAAACUACGAAAGGAAGUUGACGGGGCCCGGCACAAGCGGAGGAGCAUGUGGUUUAAUUCGAUGAUACGCGAGGAACCUUACCUGGGCUCGAACGUAAGAUGACUGUAGGUGAAAGCUUACAUCUCUUCGGAGCAUUUUACGAGGUGCUGCAUGGUUGUCGUCAGCUCGUGCCGUGAGGUGUCGGGUUAAGUCCCAUAACGAGCGCAACCCCUACCUUUAGUUGCCAUCAGGUUAAGCUGGGGACUCUAAAGGAACUGCCUACGCAAGUAGUGAGGAAGGCGGGGAUGACGUCAAAUCAGCACGGCCCUUACGUCCAGGGCUACACACGUGCUACAAUGGCCGAUACAGAGGGCAGCUACCUGGUGACAGGAUGCAAAUCUCCAAAGUCGGUCUCAGUUCGGAUCGGAGUCUGCAACCCGACUCCGUGAAGUUGGAUUCGCUAGUAAUCGCGCAUCAGCCAUGGCGCGGUGAAUACGUUCCCGGGCCUU